GGGACACGUGGUAUCCUGUCUGAAUAUGGGGGGACCAUCCUCCAAGGCUAAAUACUCCUGACUGACCGAUAGUGAACCAGUACCGUGAGGGAAAGGCGAAAAGAACCCCGGCGAGGGGAGUGAAAAAGAACCUGAAACCGUGUACGUACAAGCAGUGGGAGCCUCUUAAUGGGGUGACUGCGUACCUUUUGUAUAAUGGGUCAGCGACUUAUAUUCUGUAGCAAGGUUAACCGAAUAGGGGAGCCGAAGGGAAACCGAGUCUUAACUGGGCGUUAAGUUGCAGGGUAUAGACCCGAAACCCGGUGAUCUAGCCAUGGGCAGGUUGAAGGUUGGGUAACACUAACUGGAGGACCGAACCGACUAAUGUUGAAAAAUUAGCGGAUGACUUGUGGCUGGGGGUGAAAGGCCAAUCAAACCGGGAGAUAGCUGGUUCUCCCCGAAAGCUAUUUAGGUAGCGCCUCGUGAAUUCAUCUCCGGGGGUAGAGCACUGUUUCGGCAAGGGGGUCAUCCCGACUUACCAACCCGAUGCAAACUGCGAAUACCGGAGAAUGUUAUCACGGGAGACACACGGCGGGUGCUAACGUCCGUCGUGAAGAGGGAAACAACCCAGACCGCCAGCUAAGGUCCCAAAGUCAUGGUUAAGUGGGAAACGAUGUGGGAAGGCCCAGACAGCCAGGAUGUUGGCUUAGAAGCAGCCAUCAUUUAAAGAAAGCGUAAUAGCUCACUGGUCGAGUCGGCCUGCGCGGAAGAUGUAACGGGGCUAAACCAUGCACCGAAGCUGCGGCAGCGACGCUUAUGCGUUGUUGGGUAGGGGAGCGUUCUGUAAGCCUGUGAAGGUGGCCUGUGAGGGUUGCUGGAGGUAUCAGAAGUGCGAAUGCUGACAUAAGUAACGAUAAAGCGGGUGAAAAGCCCGCUCGCCGGAAGACCAAGGGUUCCUGUCCAACGUUAAUCGGGGCAGGGUGAGUCGACCCCUAAGGCGAGGCCGAAAGGCGUAGUCGAUGGGAAACAGGUUAAUAUUCCUGUACUUGGUGUUACUGCGAAGGGGGGACGGAGAAGGCUAUGUUGGCCGGGCGACGGUUGUCCCGGUUUAAGCGUGUAGGCUGGUUUUCCAGGCAAAUCCGGAAAAUCAAGGCUGAGGCGUGAUGACGAGGCACUACGGUGCUGAAGCGACAAAUGCCCUGCUUCCAGGAAAAGCCUCUAAGCAUCAGGUAACAUCAAAUCGUACCCCAAACCGACACAGGUGGUCAGGUAGAGAAUACCAAGGCGCUUGAGAGAACUCGGGUGAAGGAACUAGGCAAAAUGGUGCCGUAACUUCGGGAGAAGGCACGCUGAUAUGUAGGUGAAGCGACUUGCUCGUGGAGCUGAAAUCAGUCGAAGAUACCAGCUGGCUGCAACUGUUUAUUAAAAACACAGCACUGUGCAAACACGAAAGUGGACGUAUACGGUGUGACGCCUGCCCGGUGCCGGAAGGUUAAUUGAUGGGGUUAGCGGCAACGCGAAGCUCUUGAUCGAAGCCCCGGUAAACGGCGGCCGUAACUAUAACGGUCCUAAGGUAGCGAAAUUCCUUGUCGGGUAAGUUCCGACCUGCACGAAUGGCGUAAUGAUGGCCAGGCUGUCUCCACCCGAGACUCAGUGAAAUUGAACUCGCUGUGAAGAUGCAGUGUACCCGCGGCAAGACGGAAAGACCCCGUGAACCUUUACUAUAGCUUGACACUGAACAUUGAGCCUUGAUGUGUAGGAUAGGUGGGAGGCUUUGAAGUGUGGACGCCAGUCUGCAUGGAGCCGACCUUGAAAUACCACCCUUUAAUGUUUGAUGUUCUAACGUUGGCCCGUAAUCCGGGUUGCGGACAGUGUCUGGUGGGUAGUUUGACUGGGGCGGUCUCCUCCUAAAGAGUAACGGAGGAGCACGAAGGUUGGCUAAUCCUGGUCGGACAUCAGGAGGUUAGUGCAAUGGCAUAAGCCAGCUUGACUGCGAGCGUGACGGCGCGAGCAGGUGCGAAAGCAGGUCAUAGUGAUCCGGUGGUUCUGAAUGGAAGGGCCAUCGCUCAACGGAUAAAAGGUACUCCGGGGAUAACAGGCUGAUACCGCCCAAGAGUUCAUAUCGACGGCGGUGUUUGGCACCUCGAUGUCGGCUCAUCACAUCCUGGGGCUGAAGUAGGUCCCAAGGGUAUGGCUGUUCGCCAUUUAAAGUGGUACGCGAGCUGGGUUUAGAACGUCGUGAGACAGUUCGGUCCCUAUCUGCCGUGGGCGCUGGAGAACUGAGGGGGGCUGCUCCUAGUACGAGAGGACCGGAGUGGACGCAUCACUGGUGUUCGGGUUGUCAUGCCAAUGGCACUGCCCGGUAGCUAAAUGCGGAAGAGAUAAGUGCUGAAAGCAUCUAAGCACGAAACUUGCCCCGAGAUGAGUUCUCCCUGAGACUUAGAGUCUCCUGAAGGAACGUUGAAGACGACGACGUUGAUAGGCCGGGUGUGUAAGCGCAGCGAUGCGUUGAGCUAACCGGUACUAAUGAACCGUGAGGCUUAACCUUACAACGCCGAAG
Molecule: ribosomal RNA, 2539 nt
Filed under: Escherichia coli
Lineage: Bacteria; Pseudomonadati; Pseudomonadota; Gammaproteobacteria; Enterobacterales; Enterobacteriaceae
Also listed under: 1 other name
Description: partial 23S ribosomal RNA
Rfam family: Bacterial large subunit ribosomal RNA
Source: RNAcentral